This is a long non-coding RNA of Schistocerca cancellata (South American locust), 4626 nucleotides long. RefSeq lists it as uncharacterized. The record is from RefSeq and is a predicted model, not a curated record. The transcript is spliced from 2 exons. Lineage: Eukaryota; Metazoa; Arthropoda; Insecta; Orthoptera; Acrididae.
AUUAUAUUAAUUAUGUAUUUAUUCACAAAUAAAUUUUACACACAGCCUCUACACAGAUUAGUAAACUUGGCACUUCUGGGAGUUCAUACAUAAAUUGGCACUGUAUCACGAGAUACAAGGCAAUUAGGACACAUUAUGUGAAGUCCAUUUGCGACUAACAGGUGGGAAGUAUACACUUAUUUGAAUCAUUAAUUCUUCCUGUUUUAAAACUGCUGCUAAAACUAUCUGAGAGCAAAGUGUACCAUGCUGGCUCUGUUGCCCAUAACAACAGAUCAGUCACAACUGAGAUGUAAAAUGCUUCUGUAUGUUUCCCUCAGCACUGUAAUCAGACUAACUGAAUGACUGUUAAAUGCUUAAGUUACAGGAAUGAUUGACAGGUAGCUGUGCUAGGUACCACAUACCACAUAUGGGGAUCAAGAGUUGUACUUCCAACACUGUACCACAUAUGGAUAUCACGAGUUGUAAUUUCAGUGCAACUACUUCCCAUGUACAAAAUGCAGAAUUUAUAAAGGCAAUAGAGGCAAAUUCAUUUGCUGUUGUAUCAGGCUUGUGGGACAGAGAAAUAGGGAAGAAUAUGGAUCCUUUGUGUUUGUGUUUGUGUUUGUUUGUUUGUGUGUGUGUGUGUGUGUGUGUGUGUGUGUGUGUGUGUGUGUGUGAGGGGAGCACACAAGUGCAUACAAAUCAAGUGGUGUGGUGUGGUAGGAAAUCUGAUACACAGGAAUGCAUUUAGAAAAAAACUCAGAUUAGGUAGUCACUACCAAACACGUUAUGUAGUCACAUCAAAUAUACAUAAAAUAGAUGCUGAUUUUUAAAAUUACUAAAAUCAGAGAUGCAAAUUUUCUUCUCCUUACAUUUAGAGGAUAACAUAGUUCAAACUUCAUUUUAUUGGAAGUAAGUUCACAUACAAAAUUUUAGUUAACAAUCUUUAUAAAUAUUAUAUGUUAAAAAUCAUUAAACAAAGAAAAGUAUUAAUAAACUUCACAUCACAUGAAAUUGUAUAUUAAAUAACAAAAUAUUUAUUUCAUUAAAUCUAAUGAAAAUUAAAUGAACACAGUUUAUAUAUCUGAAGAAACAACAACAAAAUUGUAUUCACUAUUACUAACAAAAAAAAUUUUUAGUAUUACUCAAUGCAGUGUGAAGAAAGGACCAACAAUUCAGGCACAAGAGUAUAAUAUUUCUGCUUAAGCAGAAUAAUCCUUUUCUAUUAUCUCUCAAUAUCCCAAACUACAUGAUGUCAACAUUACCACUACUUCACAUGGACAAAGAGAGAAAUUGAACUUCUGAAGAAAAUGGCAACAUUUGUGCACAGCAAUCCUAAUAGCGAAAAACCAAAGAACAAGUUACGUAAAGAACCCCUUCAUGCUUACAAAGUGCAGUGUGGUGCUCAUCCAUCUGUCCGAUGGAGCAUAAAAAGUGAUUCAUUUGAAAGUGGCACCUGCAAUUAGAAUGCUAUUGUCAUCAUAGCUGGAGGCAAUGAGAACUUUCGUUGCUUAUGAUUUAAAAUUCUUAGAUGGUUAAAAUUCCGUUUUUAAAUCACCACCUAUCACAAUAAAACGAACUGAAAUAUAUAACAGCAGUGGUGAAAAAUGCUACCUCUAUCAACACAUCCAUUUUGAAUUACUAUGUAUUUUUUUCUUUUUUGUUUACUGAGCGUUUAAUGUAAUUUUCCAUGUUACAUGGCAUGGUUCUUCUACUGCGCUAAUUGUGGAUGCGCUUCUGACCAAACUGUUUCAAGCACCCAUCUCCUACUCCUCUCUCACUGAGGUAGUAUCUUCUGGCCUUUGCAAAGCUGUUACCCAUUCAUCUCCUUUCUUAUACGGCACUAAGUAAACAAGAGGAGCAAGUCACAGAGUAAAUGCAAAUAUUUCACCAAAACUAGCAUUUACACUAGAUAUUACAUGUCACAAAAAGAGCAAUGUGUUGACUGGUCACAAAUGAACGAUGUAUUUUGAUUAAGGGUUCCCAGAAAUAGCUGUAACCAGUUGCUUUUUGUGAUUUUUCAAUUUUUAUCUCCCAUGACCAGUUUCAAAUCACACAGUAAUGGAAAUAAUGAUUUAUUUACUUUUUGUAACGCAUGUGGGACAACUGUAGUAAACUUUGUUUGGUUCAAUAAAUUAAUAUUACCAGAAAACAAACAUUACAUUUUCCAGAACAGCGUAUGCACCAGAAAUAAACCAUUGGAUGCUAAUAAUCCUACACAACAUCCACAAUGCUCCAAACAAUCAAUAAAUGUGAAGCAUCUGAUGAAUCACUAGGCAAUUCAAAACUGGUCAUGGUAAAUAAAAAUUAAAGAAUCACAAAAGGCGACUGGUUGCAGUUAUUUCUGGAAACCUUUAUUCAACACAGUCACAGUGUUCCACAUCCACAAUGAAUAAAAGUGUUUUGAUUGGUCAAAAGUUACCAAUGAAAUGAAUUAUCAUUUGACAAUUAUACUACACAGUUCUACAGAUUUAAUCAAUUUAAGCACUGAUAGGUUUCUGCCUGUCAUAUAACUUUAGUAUGGUUACAAUGAAGCAUAUAGGCACAUUUUGGCUUCACCAAAGUAAGUUGUUUUGUUUGAUGAGAGGAAAGUGUUUGGACAUUAAUUUAUCUUUUAUUAAUUUAGUUAGUACACAUUUAUGAAGCUAAUCUGAAUAGUACGUUUACAAUGCAACAUUAUCUUUGCAAACCUGCCAUAAAACUACAGAUCACUACGAGAAAAUUUUGAGACAGCAACUGUCCCUAUAGUUUUCACCAACUGUUGAGGCUUAACUAAUCAAGUAAUGACAACAGAUAUCAAGAGUAAGGAAGGAAGUACAGAGGUUCUGAAACAGCCUCUUGCACAAGGAACUUGGCAAGUUUAUCACGAAAAUACGUUCUGGGAAAGGCAGAACUGGAACGCAAGUGAAUAACGGAAUGUGUGUGUUCACUGUCACAACAUAUGCUUAGUAUCACUACCGCAUUAUUAGUGAAGUGAGCUCAAAACUACAAUGCCAUGUAGUGAAUACAGCGAACAUCCGUGAAAGUUCAAAUAAGACAUUAUCAUGAACUACAACUUUUCGUGUAUAUUUUCUUGCUCUGACGUGCUCAUUUAUUACUAUAACAGUUCAAAACAUUAAGAGAAGAAUUUCUGGCAAAAUUCUGGACAAAAAAAAGUAAAGUGAUACUGGCAGCUGACAUCAUGCAGUAGGACAGGACUGGUUCAUUUUUCUAACUCAUGUUACUGUCACUGAAAUUUCAUGAAUUACUGGUCCUUAUCAUUCAUACAUCUCACUGUAUAGCCUCCUUACAGAUUCAUGUACUACUUACAGUAGUCAGCACUUUUAUCAUAUACUGCAACAGAAUAGAACUCCUUUAGCACAAAAUAUUUGUUAACAGUUUUAAAACAUUAUCAAAAUAAUAAUUUAGAGAGCUCAAAUACGUCUCAGUUAUAUGAGCAAUGGCGAAUGAGUUAGUCUAGCUCACAUAAGAAUUAAUAAUUCUAAUUAGAGGCAUCAUUAGCCUUUCAAUUAUGCAACAAAGAGUCAAAGUCAGGCAAUGAGGUAUGAGGUUGUAGCAAUUGGGAUAAAAAUUAACAUAAAUAAAUAGUCUAUUUGCAGGCAUUACAUUCUAAUACUUAACACACAAUUUGUGGUGCAGCAGUACACAACUGGGGAACAACUAAUUGACAUGUUUUCUCAUUACAAUUGCACUGGCUAAACUAUAACUGCUAUAAUGCAAAUUUAAACAGAAAACUUCUCUCUCCUCCUAGCUUGUUUCCUGCUAUCCUUUGGCUCGACUAUGUAUUCUUAUGAAUGAUAGAUCAGAUACAGACCACAGCACAGGUAUCAUCUGCCCACCUGUAGCUGAGCAAUUCACAAAUACCUUGAGACAGCGGCAAAAGGUGACACUACACAGCUUCCCUCAAGGAACUAAAUCUCAUUUCCUAGAAAAAAAAUUGCUGAGUUAUAUUGGCAUUGAAAAUUUAUAGGUUUGCAGGUGAGAUCCACAUUGCUGCCACAGAUUUAAUUGUUGGGAACAACAGAUGUACAAUAAAAAGGGAGAGGGGAGGGGUGCAGAACAGCAGUCCUCUCAUCACGAAAUCGUGAAUUAACUAUUGACUUCUUCAGAAUAAUCAUAGCAUUUCAAGAAAUACAGCUAUUAAAGGAUCUUAUUAACUGGUUAGAAAUGAAUACAAGACUGUGUUAAGUAGAUCUGUAUGAAAAACACUGUACAGUGUUUUAUGCCACAGUGCUACUUUCAUUUAGUUGUUAGAAUUAGUAGUCAGCCAAUUCAACCAAUAGCUUUUCUUUUCUGCCUAUGAACAAAAUAGGAGAGAUUACAUUUACUGCGGAUUAUAUCAUGUGUACUAACUGAAUAUAGCAUAACCGGACAAAGAAUUUUGAAGCAAGAGGAGAGAAUAAACAAACUGUUUACACAUUUCAUGUUUAGCCUAAAAUACACAUUAUUAAAUUCGUUGUUGGUUUUUCUUUUAUAGUGUGUAACAGUAAUCUGAAAUGGCUUAUUUGGAAAUUCAUAUUUUUGAAUAAUUACAUGGUAACAGCUUAAAAAUCACUCAAAAGGAGAUAUACAUACUUUGUCUGAAAACGAAGCAAUUUCUGUGUCUCUCUCCUACUCUGUACAUCUGCUAUUUGGUGAGUAAUAGUC